AUGGGAACUUAUGAUGAUAGGUCAUUGAGCAUUGUAGAUUACUAGUAGAGAUGACCAAAUCCAAAGGGGAAACAGCAUCCUUGCUUGAGAAAAAGCCAUAGAAGGGAGAUCCAACAACACCAAAUUAGAAGCAAAACUCACCGCCCAGAACUUGAUCUCUUCAAACCAAAUUAACCAACCCAUUGGAAUAGGGGAGUCGCGCAGCAAGGCCAAAGAAACCGCAGAGGGGAGGACCACUGCCGGAUGAGACCAGGAACAGGAUGGCGUGGACGAUGCCCAAACAGCCCAUCAGCACCUCAUAACGCCAACUAACAGGGGAGACCUAUCAUCACAAGGGAGCAUCACCAUUGAUCUUGAUCAUUUGAUGCUUUUUUAACCCA
RNAcentral lists this unclassified non-coding RNA (380 nucleotides) under Hevea brasiliensis (rubber tree). The record is from RNAcentral. Lineage: Eukaryota; Viridiplantae; Streptophyta; Magnoliopsida; Malpighiales; Euphorbiaceae.